AAAUAACAAUGAUUUCCCUAGUAACGGCGAGUGAAGAGGAAAGAGCUCAAAGUUGGAAACUGUUUGGCUUAGCUAAACCGUAUUGUAAACUGUAGAAACAUUUUCCUGGCACGCCGGAUUAAUAAGUCCUUUGGAACAAGGCAUCAUGGAGGGUGAGAAUCCCGUCUUUGAUCCGAGUAGUUGUCUUUUGUGAUAUGUUUUCAAAGAGUCAGGUUGUUUGGGAAUGCAGCCUAAAUUGGGUGGUAAAUCUCACCUAAAGCUAAAUAUUUGCGAGAGACCGAUAGCGAACAAGUACCGUGAGGGAAAGAUGAAAAGAACUUUGAAAAGAGAGUUAAACAGUAUGUGAAAUUGUUAAAAGGGAACCGUUUGGAGCCAGACUGGUUUGACUGUAAUCAACCUAGAAUUCGUUCUGGGUGCACUUGCAGUCUAUACCUGCCAACAACAGUUUGAUUUGGAGGAAAAAAUUAGUAGGAAUGUAGCCUCUCGAGGUGUUAUAGCCUACUAUCAUACUCUGGAUUGGACUGAGGAACGCAGCGAAUGCCUUUAGGCGAGAUUGCUGGGUGCUUUCGCUAAUAAAUGUUAGAAUUUCUGCUUCGGGUGGUGCUAAUGUUUAAAGGAGGAACACA
This 626-nucleotide ribosomal RNA is filed under the name Mucor circinelloides. Its description in RNAcentral is "partial large subunit ribosomal RNA". It matches the Rfam family "Eukaryotic large subunit ribosomal RNA", at positions 63 to 611 of the family's 3401-position model. The record is from RNAcentral. Lineage: Eukaryota; Fungi; Mucoromycota; Mucoromycetes; Mucorales; Mucoraceae.